UACGGGGGGGGCAAGCGUUGUUCGGAAUUACUGGGCGUAAAGGGCUCGUAGGCGGCCAACUAAGUCGGAUGUGAAAUCCCCAGGCUCAACCUGGGAACUGCGUCCGAUACUGGAUGGCUUGAAUUCGGGAGAGGGAUGCAGAAUUCCAGGUGUAGCGGUGAAAUGCGUAGAUAUCUGGAGGAAUACCGGUGGCGAAGGCGGCAUCCUGGACCGACAUUGACGCUGAUGAGCGAAAGCUAGGGGAGCAAACGGG
RNAcentral lists this ribosomal RNA (253 nucleotides) under uncultured bacterium. RNAcentral describes it as "partial 16S ribosomal RNA". It matches the Rfam family "Bacterial small subunit ribosomal RNA", at positions 524 to 776 of the family's 1533-position model. The record is from RNAcentral.